Molecule: ribosomal RNA, 237 nt
Filed under: uncultured bacterium
Lineage: Bacteria
Description: partial 16S ribosomal RNA
Rfam family: Bacterial small subunit ribosomal RNA
Source: RNAcentral
UCCGAACCUGCCGAUGACUCGGGGAUAGCCUUUCGAAAGAAAGAUUAAUACCCGAUGGGCAUAGUUCUUCCGCAUGGUGGAACUAUUAAAGAAUUUCGGUCAUCGAUGGGGAUGCGUUCCAUUAGGUUGUUGGCGGGGUAACGGCCCACCAAGCCUUCGAUGGAUAGGGGGUUCUGAGAGGAAGGUCCCCCACAUUGGAACUGAGACACGGUCCAAACUCCUACGGGAGGCAGCAUG